UACGUAGGAUGCAAGCGUUAUCCGGAAUUAUUGGGCGUAAAGGGCGCGUAGGCGGUUUCCUAAGUCUGAUGUGAAAGCCCCCGGCUCAACCGGGGAGGGUCAUUGGAAACUGGGGAACUUGAGUGCAGAAGAGGAGAGUGGAAUUCCAUGUGUAGCGGUGAAAUGCGCAGAGAUAUGGAGGAACACCAGUGGCGAAGGCGGCUCUCUAGUCUGUAACUGACGCUGAGGUGCGAAAGCGUGGGGAUCAAACAGG
RNAcentral lists this ribosomal RNA (253 nucleotides) under uncultured bacterium. RNAcentral describes it as "partial 16S ribosomal RNA". It matches the Rfam family "Bacterial small subunit ribosomal RNA", at positions 524 to 776 of the family's 1533-position model. The record is from RNAcentral.